GCGCGUGUAGCUCAGUGGUUAGAGCGCCGCCCUUAUAAGACGGAUGCCGAUGGUUCGAUUCCAUCCACGCGCA
RNAcentral lists this transfer RNA (73 nucleotides) under Candidatus Buchananbacteria bacterium RIFCSPLOWO2_02_FULL_46_11b. Its description in RNAcentral is "tRNA-Ile". It matches the Rfam family "tRNA". From Rfam's summary of the family: Transfer RNA (tRNA) molecules are approximately 80 nucleotides in length. Their secondary structure includes four short double-helical elements and three loops (D, anti-codon, and T loops). The record is from RNAcentral. Lineage: Bacteria; Candidatus Buchananiibacteriota.